RNAcentral lists this ribosomal RNA (467 nucleotides) under uncultured Clostridium sp. RNAcentral describes it as "bacterial SSU rRNA". It matches the Rfam family "Bacterial small subunit ribosomal RNA", at positions 886 to 1357 of the family's 1533-position model. The record is from RNAcentral. Lineage: Bacteria; Bacillati; Bacillota; Clostridia; Eubacteriales; Clostridiaceae.
CCGCAAGGUUGAANUCAAAGGAAUUGAGGGGGCCNGCACAAGCAGUGGAGCAUGUUGUUUAAUUNGAAGCAACGCGAAGAACCUUACCAGGUCUUGACAUCCUCUGACAGUCUAGAGUAGCCGUUCCCCUUCGGGGGACAGAGUGACAGGUGGUGCAUGGUUGUCGUCAGCUCGUGUCGUGAGAUGUUGGGUUAAGUCCCGCAACGAGCGCAACCCUUGAUCUUAGUUGCCAGCAUUCAGUUGGGCACUCUAAGGUGACUGCCGGUGACAAACCGGAGGAAGGUGGGGAUGACGUCAAAUCAUCAUGCCCCUUAUGAUCUGGGCUACACACGUGCUACAAUGGGUGGUACAAAGGGCAGCGAAACCGCGAGGUCAAGCUAAUCCCAUAAAGCCACCCCCAGUUCGGAUUGCAGGCUGCAACUCGCCUGCAUGAAGCCGGAAUUGCUAGUAAUCGCGGAUCAGCAUGC